This is a non-coding RNA of Danio rerio (zebrafish), 562 nucleotides long. The record is from RefSeq and is a predicted model, not a curated record. Lineage: Eukaryota; Metazoa; Chordata; Actinopteri; Cypriniformes; Danionidae.
CUAUCUCAAAGCGUUGUGGUGUGACUGGAGAAUAAGCUGCCUCUCCACGUGUGACCCACAGACGUGACGGAGCAGAACAAUGAACAGAGAGGAGAGCCUGGAUGGACAGACUGCAGAGGAGGAGAGUGGACAGUGGGAGCUCUUCAGUACCGACUGAAUUGGACAGACAGGCCUCAUCAAAGUGUUUCCUCUACGAGCCGCUGAUGUGUGUGAGCAGAUGUGUGUGUGACGCCGCUGUUAUGCUGAAGGUCAACGGAAAUCUCAAACACAUCUGGAAAAGUACAAUCAUCUGAACUGACAAACAGAUUUAUUCCCUCGCCUCAAGAAAUCUCAUCUGGUCCAAUGCAGACCUCAAAAAAAGUAAGUUAUACUGCGUUUUCCUUGCCUUGGCUUCCUUGUUUUGAACCUUUGCUUUGUUCUGUUUGAUCAUUCCAGUAUGCCGCUUGCCUUCUGACCAUUUGCCUGCUGUUUUGACUACAACUAUGGAUUGCCCUCAUGCAUCUGUUUGCUCCUGUGUUGAUCAUUGCUGGCCUGACCUCGCUAAUAAACUUGCAUGUGGAUC